GCUGUGGCAGUGUAAUGGUCAGCAUAUUUGCCUAGUAAGCAAGAAGACCCGGGUUCGAGUCCCGGCUGCAGCA
RNAcentral lists this transfer RNA (73 nucleotides) under Schistocerca americana (American grasshopper). RNAcentral's name for it is "tRNA-Thr". It matches the Rfam family "tRNA". From Rfam's summary of the family: Transfer RNA (tRNA) molecules are approximately 80 nucleotides in length. Their secondary structure includes four short double-helical elements and three loops (D, anti-codon, and T loops). Lineage: Eukaryota; Metazoa; Arthropoda; Insecta; Orthoptera; Acrididae. The record is from RNAcentral.